Molecule: ribosomal RNA, 253 nt
Filed under: uncultured bacterium
Lineage: Bacteria
Description: partial 16S ribosomal RNA
Rfam family: Bacterial small subunit ribosomal RNA
Source: RNAcentral
UACGGGGGGGGCAAGCGUUGUUCGGAAUUACUGGGCGUAAAGGGCUCGUAGGCGGCCAACUAAGUCCGACGUGAAAUCCCCCGGCUUAACCUGGGAACUGCGUCGGAUACUGGUUGGCUUGAAUCCGGGAGAGGGAUGCGGAAUUCCAGGUGUAGCGGUGAAAUGCGUAGAUAUCUGGAGGAACACCGGUGGCGAAGGCGGCAUCCUGGACCGGCAUUGACGCUGAUGAGCGAAAGCCAGGGGAGCAAACGGG